CCAAAGCCCUCAUCCUCCAGCCAAGUGGACGCGGUGCUGAGCUUCCCAGAGAUGUCCUCGCGCUGCUCCUCGGUCGACACUUCCUGGGAAUGUGGCUGCCACUGGUCCCACCUUGGCCACCCACCUGCAAAAUCUUCAGCCAGAGACCGGGAGUAGUUGAGAAGCAUGCUGAGGACCUCCUCCGGGUCACCGUCACUGGGGUUUUCCUCCGGGACUCCCUGAAGAAAAGACACACUGGGGCCACGUGCCUACAGCACGGUGUGUUCUCAGGAGACUCAACACUCCCACAUACAUACAACACCCGACAAUCAUGCAAACACAAAGUCUGUUGAGGGCACUACCAAGACCACAUUUGGGCCUCAGGAGAGAAGAAAAACAACACUUGUAACUGGAUGCCCUGAGUGAAGGAGGCAGAACGUCAUCCACAACAGAGAAGCUUUAAAAUUCAUACCUACUUCAUCCUCACUCAGGGCAGGACAGGCUACAUCCUACCCCUCCUCUCCCUUCUAAUGAGAACCAAGCACUCUCACCACCUUCAGAAGUGACCACAGGAAAGCCCAGGUGAACCACCGGGGAUUCAAGCCUUUGGCCACCACAUCCCUAAACAGUGAUGGUAACAGGCCAGGAGGAAGGAGACCAAGGCCUUCCGGCCACUGCAUAGGCAGCUCUACGGGCGCACCCCAGCACUGUCCCUGCCGUCACACACCUGGGGUGCCGGCAGGGAUCCCCGCUCAGGGCUAGACUACCUCCCUACAACCUGGAGCUCCCCCGCUGGCGGGGAAAGCCUGGCCGGGAACUGAGAGAUGGUGACGCUGGAGGAGGCAGGGAUGGAAAAAGGGCACGUCUCGUUCUAAGCAUCCCUUCGGGUUGUCCCUCCCGCUCCCCUUCUCCAUCCCAUCUUCGGCCCCGCUGCCUACACAGACGCUGUGCCUGGAACGAUAAGGUUCCGCGUCGAGAAGACAGCGAGUAUUCCGAGUUCACCUAAG
Molecule: long non-coding RNA, 986 nt
Organism: Odocoileus virginianus texanus
Lineage: Eukaryota; Metazoa; Chordata; Mammalia; Artiodactyla; Cervidae
Source: RefSeq, a predicted model, not a curated record